CGCCUGCGUGGGCCAGCGGUAGAUCGGCAGGCCGAAGGUCGACUCGGUGAUGAAGGUGUCGCAGGGCACGGGUUCGAAGGGCGCGCAGGUGCC
This 93-nucleotide transfer RNA is filed under the name Variovorax paradoxus. RNAcentral describes it as "tRNA-Phe". Lineage: Bacteria; Pseudomonadati; Pseudomonadota; Betaproteobacteria; Burkholderiales; Comamonadaceae. The record is from RNAcentral.